CUCUGUGACAUCCUGCGACACUGUAUCUCCUACGCCUACCACGACUUAUAUCAAUGACUGUCACGUGCUGUCAAUGACUCUGCUUGUCACAAUAACAAGCACGUGGAUCACGGGAUAAUUUUGACAGUCCAGUAAGGCUUCCUGAGUGACAGUACACCGAGGCGACGUAAACGCUAGUCGGAAUGCACUGCGGAGUCGGGUAGAUUGUGCACGGUUUUCGUGAAAUUCGCGCAGGCGCCUCCAGGAGACGGCUCGCUCGAUAUCGGCGUACUUCCAGCGGCGGUGGGACUAGAGAACGGGGAGAGGGGGAGAGAGAGAGAGAGAGUCGAGUAUUCGAAUAUCAGAGAGACAGGGUAGACACUGGCUGAGAGGAUUUUUCGCUGAUGGUCGAUGAAUCACGUUGCGGACAGCUGAUAAAAUGAGUGAAUAAAACGCACGGUGAUUUUUUUUUUAUACGACGUUCGGAUGAACUGAAAUAAUUGUCUGGAGCAAUAUGACACUUGUACAGGAGCCUAUAAAAUUGUGUAUAGAGACAGACGUAGGUGGUACAGUAAUCAGAUCAGAUUGCCAUAGCCUAUCUAUAUGGCAUGUUCUUAUAGGAUGAUAAAGAAAUUUUUUUUACUCUUACUGUACAACUGUACACAAAUUUACAAAUAGAUACUACGAAGGGAGGAUACCGGACAAUGCUUCCUUGUUAAUAUUUCAUUGGCGCCAGGGUCGUCGGUCCCGGAUGAACCUGAGUUCACGGUUCCAUUGGAUUUCCGUGGAGGCGAAGUUUAAAAUUCGCAGACGGUGGACAAGCGUUUCUAUUUCUUUUUUAAUUUACGAGGACCACUUGCGAAGUAAUUAACUACGGCCGUGUCGGGGGUCUUGGCUUAAUUAAGCGAACGCACUUGGUAGUCGAAUGGCUGUUAAAAUGUUGUAUAAACAAGAUACAGUGUACCCACUAGGGUACGCCGGUACAGAGGAGCUGAUAAAAUGAUUAGGUUAGAAAAACAGAGAAGUUUCAAUAAUUUUAAAUUCAAUGAAAAUCAUGAAAGAAUUAUCAAGGAAUCCUGAGAGACAGUAAUCAUUGCCAUUUAGUUGAAGAAUUUAAACAUGAUGAUCCAAACAAAAUUAAUGCUUAAUUAAUAAACAAUUGAUUUAAUCGGUUAGAAAAAGAUGCUUUAAAUUGUAAUGCAAAAAUCUAUUAAUGCACUUGGACGCAUUCUCGAGUAAGGAACUUCCUUAGAGUUUAUUCAGGAUUUAUUUUACGGACUGGCGAAUUCCAGGUUCCACCCCUGGCCGUCCCGACGCUGUCGUCGCGUCUAGACUGGUAAAGCCCACCCCCUUCCAUAGGCGCAUAACGAUUUGUCGCUGGUUUGAAUUUCCCGCUCUUUCUCCGUUACACAGGGCAUACACUGAAAUUUAGACUUUCUGUUUCCAACCUUCAUCGUAAUUUUCAAGACUCUAUUACUCUGGUAAUAGACACUGUUAACUUUAUUUGAAUUAUCAAAAAUUAUUUUAAAGAUUCAUAUUGUCGCUUCACCUGUUUACACGGCUUUGGCUAGAAAUAAUUGAGGUAUCAAGUGGCAGCCUAGAUGGCGACACAGUCGAAGUGAUUUUCAAGUGGAACCAAUUGAGCGAUCAGGCGUGAUCGAUAUGAGAGAACGAGGUCUCGAAUCGAGGGGAUUAAUCACGGUUUAAGAAUUUAUGUUUUUAUUUCAUUUCUCAUUUUCCCUAUCACGGCAUUGCGCAAAAGCGAAUUACUCAUAUUGAGAUUUGAUUAAAAAUUUAAGAACAACUACCCAUUCCACUCAUAGCCCACUACUUCAAAGAGUGGCUGGUACGUACAGGUACCGAUUCUAUUUGAAAUAACAGGAGUUACCAGAAUGAUUUUAUUUUAUUUUCCCCCUUUAAAGUGCUUCUCGCCAUUUCCUCCCCUUUUACAUCCCCCACUGUCUGGCACCGAAUGGCUUGUGAACUUUCCUAACAAACUUGGCUACGAGCUCUACAGUACGGAAGGAAAGAGGUGCUUGCCAGCAACAGUGAAGAGUGCCAGAAAAUCGAAAACCAGACAGACCGUCCAUCCCAUGAAUAAAAGGCCAGCCGAUAAAGGGGAAAGAGCAUGGGACUCGAAAAAGAUGGCGUUCGCCGACAGGGGUUACGAGUCAGUGUUACGUGGUAACUAUUGAACGAGCAAAUCCAGCAGUUACUUUAUAUCAAAGGCAAAUCCCCAUCCCGGAACUUCCGGUUUGGACGACCCUCCCCACGCUCAAAUUAUCCCGGCCCAAUCACUUUGUUGAUUUUACGCUGCAGUCUUUGCAGUUGCCAAAACAGCCCCCCUCCCGCCCUGAACACUCGUCAUCCUGUAUAUUUUAUGCCAAUGCGAAAGCUGCUACCACCUACGUUGUGGUUAUGCCGCAAAUAAAUUUAAUGGCGAAUACGCAACGUAAUUUAAAAUGUAUUUACAUUGGGGCACGUAUCGGAGAUAGGAGUCGGUGUAAUGGUUAAAUAUUUAAAUUAAUAGGAUAUAUAUAUCAAUCGAUAAAAUUAUGUUGAGAUGCUUCGAUUUUUUUAAUCACGACCUUUGAACUCCACGUGAACGAUCCUGUCAAUAGUUUUCUCGGAUGGACGCAGUUGCGGCACUUAAAAGAGUCGUGUACAAUCAUUUCGCUAUCGAAGGCAAUUAAGUUUCUGUAAAUUAGGUUAGGUCCCACGGGAACGUAGCUGCCUUAUCUCUUAUUCACUUUCAAGUCACCGAUUCACUUUCAAUGUCACACUGUCACUGGCGUUCAAUUUCUUAUCGCACGUACGAUACAAGUGUACAGUGAUGAGUGCCGAGAGAAAAUACAAAUUAUUUCACGAGUUCAUCAGAGGCACUGCUACGCUCGUGGGAUUUGGCUGUUCAUUAAAUACGCCUUGUAUUUUUCACUGGCUCGGCUCUCACAGCUAAUUAAGAUAGUAAGUGGACUGAUCGAUUUCUAAUUUCAGCUAUCGCCCAAGCCUGUGAACAAUGUUAUCGGUGAGAUAGUCGAUAUUUAUCAGUGCCAAGCUCGGAUUGUUUGGUGGUUCUAUAUAAAAUUAUAUAGGUACGCUUUCAAUGAUAAUUUCAAACAUACAAUUAUUCUCUUACCAGUAAUAACCGAUUGUCGUAUUUUCGUUCAACAUUGCAUCAUCUUUCGUAUCCCAGCAGCGCACAAGAUUCUUGUACCAAUGAGAAUAAUCCGUUCGCAUAUAUAAUCCCGCGACAAAGUACCGAGGAAAAGUUACCGCUCGAGUUUUAUAGUAUUUUAACACAGCAUGGACUUUGCAGAGUGAGAGACAAAGAUCUGACAUUUGUGUGCGUACGGGGAAUGUAAAACUAAUUUAAUAAAACAAUAAGAAAGAAAUUAGAAAGGGUGUGAUCAAUAUACUUUUUCACUUUAACCUAACCUAAUUUAACAUAACACACUGUUUGGCAGUGGAUUGUGAAUUCGAAAGGAAAUAUAUUUUCAGACUGUGACAAUAAUAACAAAUGCUAUUAUACGUGGUAGAGUGACGGAAUUAAGGAAUUUCGCGACGAUAAUAACGACGUAAUUCGUUGUAAACCAUGAAAGGACGGCUGACAGUUCUUUGGCCGGAAAGUGCUGCUCUAGAAAUAGAUACAUGUCGCUCCGUGCGACGAAGGUUGCACGGAAAUAGUCCAAGGAACUCACAAGUCUCGAAUUCCAGCUUGCAUAACGAUAAGUCAAUACGUGUCACUAUCAUUUUCUACCCAUUCGCCACAGAGAAUCGUGCACGCUGCGCAAACUGACAUUUUUCCUAACCUCACCGCGCAGGUAUACAGCCGGAGUCAAAGAACCUCCUUAAAAAAUGUCAGUGGUCAUGGUAAAUCGUAUGAAUAUUAUCACCGUUUUCAAGAUAUACCAAAGUAGAAAGGAAUACAUUCAAAAUGUCAAGGCUGUUUGCAAAUUGUCAAUUCAACGACUAACUCUCGUGACUAGCUUAUGGCGGCAGACCGUGGGAAUACGAGAUAAAUUUCCAGCAUUGAAAAUCUUUUAAAUGUAUGCAUAAUUUGCGGAAGCCACUAUCCGUCCAGCGAUUUGGUGAGUGAUCGGGUAAACAGACCGUGAAGAAGCUCCAGGAAUUCGUCAAGGGUAAAUAAAUACCGAGACUGUCUCCCGCGCGAAAGAACCUUCCGAGCAACGUUGUCAGAUAAGAACGGCCUGAAGACAACCCUGCAUUUUCGUUCGGCGCUAGGAAUCGACUCUCAACAUAAAUCUGCAAGGAAUGCACGAAGGUUGACUGGUAAGUGGUUGAAUAAAAAUACAAGAAAUCCAGGUGCCUAACUAGUGACGCUCUGAUUCACGACGACAGAUGCUUUUCUAUAUGUCAGAGGUCUGUCUUCGAACUGCCUUACCAGCGACUGAUUGUCAGCUAUUUUUUUCUUCCGCGCCUUGUCAAUAGAACAAUCAAAAGUUACACUGACGAAAUCGAUAAUAUUUUUACUACCCACGCAAAACUAAGUCAACAGAUAAUUAUCAUUAGAAAUGAUACCUCAGUCCGACACGCACAGCUUGGCUUAAAUGUUCUCGGGUCGUUGUUCCUCUAGGAUUUUCUGACUCAAAAUACACAGACGAAUGACCGAGUGUCGUUCACGCUCUCUGACCUCGGCAACGAUCGCCAUUGUCAACCAACGGUGGUAAAACUGUGACGGUGGGAAAGUUACUAGCCAACAGGUUAGAGUACAGUAGUCUGUUUGUAAUAGAAGAAGACAAGUUGUCAUGGAUCGAUGGAUAAGAUCAGCUAGAAGAAAAAUAAACAAAACAAAAAUAGUGCAAAAUCAUUUGAAUGAAUUAUUUCUAUAUAUGACUGUACCGAAAUGUAUUUUUAAAGGGCGAUAUUUAAUUAAAUAACUUGGUAAUACCAGAAACGCCUGCUUUCGGCUAACGCGAGCGCUAAACAGUUCUAGGUCGUCUCUUGGGAUAUUCCUGCCGUAAACUGGGGCGUGUGUUAUGAAGGUAUUACUCACGUGCGGCUAGUAAUCUUUCAUCAGAAUUAACACGAGGCCGUAGAUAUCAGACGGUGAUAAUGUGCGAAUAAAUUACAAUAUAUGAAUAAAUAUCGCGGCACAUUUACACCUUAAGAUAUUAAAUCGAUUGAAUAUAUCGCCGAACGCCAUUUUCGAAAAGGUUUGACGAAUCUAUUGAAGUACUUGAAUAUGUACAUAUAUGUAAUGAAAUUUUAAUAGAGACAAAAAAAUCUUUAAUAUUAACAAAAUAGAUUAGUACGAUACUAUAGGGUAUGGGAGAGAAAAAAAAGACAAUUUUGAAAAUUUCAUGCUCACGACACAUUACAAGUGCUUUGACUAAUUUCUUACUUAACAAUAUAUAUAUGUAUACAUACAUACGUCUAUAAUUACAAAAUAUAUACAGGUAUGAAUGUCUUGUGUGUAUAGUACCACUAGGAUAGAUACAUGCCGCAAGCGGGAGCUUAAAUAAAGCAAAGGAUUAAAAAAAAAA
Long non-coding RNA from Cephus cinctus (wheat stem sawfly), 5483 nucleotides. RefSeq lists it as uncharacterized. The transcript is spliced from 2 exons. The record is from RefSeq and is a predicted model, not a curated record. Lineage: Eukaryota; Metazoa; Arthropoda; Insecta; Hymenoptera; Cephidae.